RNAcentral lists this ribosomal RNA (361 nucleotides) under uncultured bacterium. RNAcentral's name for it is "bacterial SSU rRNA". It matches the Rfam family "Bacterial small subunit ribosomal RNA", at positions 30 to 379 of the family's 1533-position model. The record is from RNAcentral.
AUUGAACGCUGGCGGCAUGCCUAACACAUGCAAGUCGAACGGCAGCACAGAUAUAGUUUACUAUAUUGGGUGGCGAGUGGCGGACGGGUGAGUAACGCGUGGGUAUAUGACCUAAUGACGGGGACAACUUGCGGAAACGCGAGCUAAUACCGGAUAAGCUCUGAGGAGGAAAGCUGGGGAUCUGGCGACAGACCUGGCGCUUUAGGAGUAACCUGCGUCCAAUUAGCUAGUUGGUAGGGUAAAGGCCUACCAAGGCGACGAUUGGUAGCUGGUCUGAGAGGACGGACAGCCACACUGGGACUGAGACACGGCCCAGACUCCUACGGGAGGCAGCAGUGGGGAAUAUUGGACAAUGGGGGAA